Molecule: ribosomal RNA, 344 nt
Filed under: uncultured bacterium
Lineage: Bacteria
Description: bacterial SSU rRNA
Rfam family: Bacterial small subunit ribosomal RNA
Source: RNAcentral
AAUCAACGCUGGCGGCGUGCCUCAGACAUGCAAGUCGAACGCGAAAGGUUCCUUCGGGGACCGAGUAGAGUGGCGCACGGGUGAGUAACACGUAGGUAAUUUGCCUUUGGGUGGGGAAUAACUCAGGGAAACUUAGAGCUAAUACCGCAUAAUGCAGCGGCUCGACAUCGAGACAGUUGUUAAAGCGGGGGAGUUCGCAAGAACCUCGCGCCUAAAGAGAAGCCUGCGGCAGAUAGCUAGUUGGUAAGGUAAUGGCUUACCAAGGCGACGAUCUGUAACCGGCCUGAGAGGGCGGUCGGUCACACUGACACUGACAUACGGGUCAGACUCCUACGGGAGGCAGC